UUAGCUUCAGCGAUGGAUCGGUUGUUUCGCGUAUCGAUGAAAAACGCAGCUAGCUGCGUUAUUUACCACGAAUUGCAGACGCUUAGAGUGGUGAAAUUUUGAACGCAUAGCGCCGUUGGGUUUUCCCUUCGGUACGUCUGGUUCAGGGUUGUU
This 153-nucleotide ribosomal RNA is filed under the name Haemonchus contortus (barber pole worm). Its description in RNAcentral is "5.8S ribosomal RNA". It matches the Rfam family "5.8S ribosomal RNA". From Rfam's summary of the family: 5.8S ribosomal RNA (5.8S rRNA) is a component of the large subunit of the eukaryotic ribosome. It is transcribed by RNA polymerase I as part of the 45S precursor that also contains 18S and 28S rRNA. Functionally, it is thought that 5.8S rRNA may be involved in ribosome translocation. The record is from RNAcentral. Lineage: Eukaryota; Metazoa; Nematoda; Chromadorea; Rhabditida; Trichostrongylidae.